GAAGCGUUAACUUAAGUUUAAAGUGUUAGAUUUUUAAUCUAAAAAUGUUAUUACACGUUUUA
Molecule: transfer RNA, 62 nt
Filed under: Allodiplogaster sudhausi
Lineage: Eukaryota; Metazoa; Nematoda; Chromadorea; Rhabditida; Diplogasteridae
Description: tRNA-Lys
Rfam family: tRNA
About the family: Transfer RNA (tRNA) molecules are approximately 80 nucleotides in length. Their secondary structure includes four short double-helical elements and three loops (D, anti-codon, and T loops).
Source: RNAcentral